CCUACGGGUGACAGCAGUGGGGAAUAUUGCACAAUGGGGGCAACCCUGAUGCAGCAACGCAGCGUGAAGGAAGACUGUUUUCGGAUUGUAAACUUCCGUUCUUAGUGAAGUAUAGUGCCGUUAGCAUAGUACCAAGCCACGGCUAACUACGUGCCAGCAGCCGCGGUAAUACGGAGGUGGCAAGCGUUGUCCGGAAUUACUGGGUGUAAAGGGAGCGCAGGCGGGAAGCCAAGUCAGCUGUGAAAACUACGGGCUUAACUUGUAGACUGCAGUUGAAACUGGUUUUCUUGAGUGAAGUAGAGGUUGGCGGAAUUCCGGGUGUAGCGGUGAAAUGCGUAGAUAUUCGGAGGAACACCGGUGGCGAAGGCGGCCAACUGGGCUGUAACUGACGCUGAUGCUCGAAAGUGUGGGGAGCAAACAGGAUUAGAUACCCUUGUAGUC
RNAcentral lists this ribosomal RNA (441 nucleotides) under uncultured bacterium. RNAcentral's name for it is "partial 16S ribosomal RNA". It matches the Rfam family "Bacterial small subunit ribosomal RNA", at positions 338 to 795 of the family's 1533-position model. The record is from RNAcentral.